Molecule: long non-coding RNA, 429 nt
Organism: Cornus florida
Lineage: Eukaryota; Viridiplantae; Streptophyta; Magnoliopsida; Cornales; Cornaceae
Exons: 2
Source: RefSeq, a predicted model, not a curated record
AUCUCUCCCCUGCUGGAAGGGCUUUUAGCCCUUUACCUCGGAUUCGAAUGGAUUCGGACGAAUAAUAUUCUUGCGCCCAUCAUUACACAUGGCAUAUAUUCUGCUGUUAUAUUGGGACAUGGUCUUUGGAAGAUUCAUGACCACCGGCGAAGACUACGCCAGAGAAUCCAGCAACUCAAACUAGAAGGAAAAAACUUGCAUAAAUUGUGAAGGAGCAAUGUAACAAGGAUGUAGCUUGAAGUGUAGGGAAAUUGUAUAUACUACAUAGCAGAGCAAGAUUAUUCAUAGCGGGUAAUUUUACUGUACAAUAUAUGUAUUAAUAGAGAAGUGUAUGGUAAACAAACAAUAAAUUUAUAAGCUAAAACGAAGAAUUUUAAGUUGUAUACACCAAUAAUCACAUGAAUUUGUAGAUUUUGACCUUUUUGUUCA